GAUGAACGCUGGCGGCGUGCUUAAUACAUGCAAGUCGAACGGAAAGGCCCAAGCUUGCUUGGGUACUCGAGUGGCGAACGGGUGAGUAUAACGUGGGUGUACUGCCCUGAUCUUCCGGAUAUGCCUGGGAAACAGGGUCUAUUAUCGGGUAGGACGUUGUUAUGGAUGUCGUUGUGGAAAGAAUUUUCGGUGUGGUAUGAGCUAGCGGUCUAUCAGCUUGUUGGUGGGGUAAUGGUCUGGCAAGGCGUUGCCGGGUAGCCGGACUGUGAGAGUGUACGGCCACAUUGAGACUGAGAUACGGCACAGACACCUACGGGAGGGAGCAGUGGGGAAGAUUGCACAAUGAGCGCAAGCCUGAUGCAGCGACGCCGCGUGUGGGAUGACGGCCUUCGGGUUGUAGACUACUUUCGCUAGGGACGAAGCAUUUUGUGACGGUACCUGGUGAAGAAGCACCGGCUAACUACGUG
RNAcentral lists this ribosomal RNA (467 nucleotides) under uncultured bacterium. RNAcentral describes it as "partial 16S ribosomal RNA". It matches the Rfam family "Bacterial small subunit ribosomal RNA", at positions 28 to 507 of the family's 1533-position model. The record is from RNAcentral.